Long non-coding RNA from Micropterus salmoides (largemouth bass), 1200 nucleotides. RefSeq lists it as uncharacterized. Lineage: Eukaryota; Metazoa; Chordata; Actinopteri; Centrarchiformes; Centrarchidae. The transcript is spliced from 3 exons. The record is from RefSeq and is a predicted model, not a curated record.
UAUUACUCUGUAAACAUAUUCAGAGAUUGUUUAGCCUCAGAAUCAGUUGUCAAGAAUCAAUUUCCUUCUACUAUAACUACUGAGGGCCCUGAGGUCCACUCAUCUGUGUUUGGGGGAAUGAGGGAGUUUUUCUUGCCAUGUAUAUCUUUCAAUUACAAGGAAAUACUCUAAUCAAAAGUAUUAUUGCAUUUUGCACGAGUAUAUGAGAUCAUGUGGUGUAUGUGGUCUUUCUAUAAUCAUACAUUCUAUUUUUGGGGUAGCUGAAGGAAAAUGAAAGGAAGGAUGGAAAGAGUCCGUGGCUGGAUAGCAUCACAGGAAGACUGCUUAGGUGCUGUUCAGAUGGCUCUGUGAGGUGUUAUAUUUAAGAUGUCCUUGGAACAGCAUAGGGUACCAAAGUUAUGAAGGGAGUCCACUGUUGUUUCGGUCAUAAAGAGUGGAAACACAAAAGAGCUAAAUGACGUAAGACCAGUGGCACUGACAUCACUGGUCAUGAAGUCAUUUGAAAGGCUAGUUAAAGGGAAACUGUUGGGUAUGGUGGAGGAGGCUCUGGAUGAAAAUGCCACAAAGACCAAUAUGGUCAUUGAUUUUAGAAGGUAAAUCUUCCAAACCACCAUCUCAGAGCUUCUUUAAAGGAUUUGGCAUUGGAUUUGUAGAACAGUAUAAAUAUCUCGGAACAGUCAUUGAUAAUGACCUGAAAUCUGAAGUCAAUUCUGAUGCAAUCUGUUCGCAGGGUUAGCAACGUUUGUACGACAUUAGGUAGUUAAAUGUUUUUAAUGUUGACAAGACAAUUAUGUGUUUGUCUUUUAUUGAAUCUGUUACUUACCUUUAUGAUUGCAUGGCAUGGUAACCUAAACAUCAGGGACAAAAACCACCUAAACAACAUUAUGAAAGUGGCUGGUGAGGUUAUAAGUGUCUCACAAAUUCCCCUGACUGCUAUCUUUGCCCAGCAGGUUCUCUCACGUCCACGACUAUAAUAGACUGUUAAAACCUCUUCAUUCUGAGUUUGUAACUCUUCCCUCAGGUCGUAGAUUUAGAGUUCCACGAUUCAAGUGAAAUAGGAGCAAAAACUCAUAUGUUCCCUGUGCAAUAACCCGGCUAAAUCGUCUCAGGGUUCAAGAUCUGGAGGAUGGCAACGUGGAAGAGGAAUGUCUGAUUCAAACCCGGGUCAGCCUGGACACAGAAGUCGGUGUUCAUUUGAAC